AUUGAACGCUGGCGGCAGGCUUAACACAUGCAAGUCGAGCGGGGGAAGGUAGCUUGCUACCGGACCUAGCGGCGGACGGGUGAGUAAUGCUUAGGAAUCCGCCUAUUAGUGGGGGACAACAUCUCGAAAGGGAUGCUAAUACCGCAUACGUCCUACGGGAGAAAGCAGGGGAUCUUCGGACCUUGCGCUAAUAGAUGAGCCUAAGUCGGAUUAGCUAGUUGGUGGGGUAAAGGCCUACAAAGGCGACGAUCUGUAGCGGGUCUGAGAGGAUGGUCCGCCACACUGGGACUGAGACACGGCCCAGACUCCUACGGGAGGCAGCAGUGGGGAAUAUUGGACAAUGGGGGGAACCCUGAUCCAGCCAUGCCGCGUGUGUGAAGAAGGCCUUGUGGUUGUAAAGCACUUUAAGCGAGGAGGAGGCUCUUUUGGUUAAUACCCAGAAUGAGUGGACGUUACUCGCAGAAUAAGCACCGGCUAACUCUGUGCCAGCCGCCGCAGUAA
Molecule: ribosomal RNA, 501 nt
Filed under: uncultured bacterium
Lineage: Bacteria
Description: partial 16S ribosomal RNA
Rfam family: Bacterial small subunit ribosomal RNA
Source: RNAcentral